AUUGAACGCUGGCGGCAUGCCUUACACAUGCAAGUCGAACGGCAGCGCGGGGCAACCUGGCGGCGAGUGGCGAACGGGUGAGUAAUAUAUCGGAACAUACCCUAGAGUGGGGGAUAACGUAGCGAAAGUUACGCUAAUACCGCAUACGCACUAAGGUGGAAAGUGGGGGAUUCGCAAGAACCUCAUGCUCAUGGAGUGGCCGAUAUCUGAUUAGCUAGUUGGUGAGGUAAAGGCUCACCAAGGCAACGAUCAGUAGCUGGUUUGAGAGAACGACCAGCCACACUGGAACUGAGACACGGUCCAGACUCCUACGGAGGCAGCAGUGGGGAAUUUUGGGACAAUGGGGGCAACCCUGAUCCAGCAAUGCCGCGUGAGUGAAGAAGGCCUUCGGUUGUAAGAC
RNAcentral lists this ribosomal RNA (400 nucleotides) under uncultured bacterium. Its description in RNAcentral is "bacterial SSU rRNA". It matches the Rfam family "Bacterial small subunit ribosomal RNA", at positions 30 to 431 of the family's 1533-position model. The record is from RNAcentral.